UGAAUGGUAGAACGAGGGCUUAGCUGUCUCCCCUUUCUAGUCAAUGAAAUUGAUCUGCCCGUGCAGAAGCGGACAUACAAAUACAAGACGAGAAGACCCUUUGGAGCUUAAGAUACAAGAUCAACUAUGUCAAAACCCCGGUUAAACUAAAUAGCAUCUGAUCCAAAUCUUCAGUUGGGGCGACCACGGGAGAAAAUAAAGCUCCCACGCGGACUGGGGUAAUUACCCCAAAACUAAGAGAAACAACUCUAAGUCGCAGAAUUUCUGACCAAAAGAUCCGGCCUCCCGCCGACCAGCGAACCAAGUUACCCUAGGGAUAACAGCGCAAUCCCCUUUCAGAGCCCCUAUCGACAAGGGGGUUUACGACCUCGAUGUUGGAUCAGGACAUCCUAAUGGCGCAG
RNAcentral lists this ribosomal RNA (401 nucleotides) under Noturus phaeus (brown madtom). RNAcentral's name for it is "partial 16S ribosomal RNA". It matches the Rfam family "Bacterial large subunit ribosomal RNA", at positions 1993 to 2558 of the family's 2925-position model. The record is from RNAcentral. Lineage: Eukaryota; Metazoa; Chordata; Actinopteri; Siluriformes; Ictaluridae.